CCUGCCAGUAGUCAUACGCUUGUCUUAAAGAUUAAGCCAUGCAUGUCUAAGUUUAAGCAAUUAAACAGCGAAACUGCAGAUGGCUCAUUAAAUCAGUCAUUGUUGGAGCAGUUUUAGUCCUUAGGAUAACCGUGGUAAUUCUAGGGCUAAUACUUAAGUGCUUUUGCACCGCAUUUGUGGGGGUUCAUACCAAUGCCUUCGGGCUUGUUUUGAAUAACUACAACUUGCUGAUCGCAUAGCUUCAUGCUGGCGACAUCCUGCUCAAAUGUCUGCCCUAUCAGCUGACGAUGGUAGCAUAGAGGGCCACCAUGGCUGUUACGGGUAACGGGGAACAAGGGUUCGGUUCCGGAGAGGGGGCCUGAGAAAUGGCCACCACUUCUAAGGAAGGCAGCAGGCGCGCAAAUUACCCAAUAGCGAUAUGCUGAGGUAGUGACAAGAUAUACCAAUAUGGAUCCCCGCAAGGGAUCUGUAAUUGGAAUGAACCCAAUUUAAAUCUCUUAAUGAGAACCAAUUGGAGGACAAGUCUGGUGCCAGCACCCGCGGUAAUUCCAGCUCCAAUAGCGUAUAUUAAAUUUGUUGCAGUUAAAACGCUCGUAGUCGAAUUAAGACUCUUGCAGGUCGGUCUACCGGAAGGUGUGCACUGGCUUGCGAGUUUCUCUGUUCGGUAGAACCUCUGGCCUUAACUGGCUGGAGGGGAUACAGAACCAAUUACCUUGAAUAAAUUAGAGUGUUUCAAGCAGGCUUUAUAGCCAGAAUACAUUAGCAUGGGAUAACAAAAUAGGGCUUUUGCUCUGUCUUGUUGGUAUGGGAGUAUUAGCAAUGAUUAACAGGAGUGAUCGGGGGCAUUCAUAUUUCAUUGUCAGAGGUGAAAUUCUUGGAUUGAUGAAAGAUGAACUGAUGCGAAAGCGUUUGCCAAGGACACUCCCAUUGAUCAAGAACGAAAGUUAGGGGAUCGAAGACGAUCAGAUACCGUCGUAGUCCUAACUGUAAACAUUGUCGACCAGAAAUCGCAAAAUGUUACUUGGAUGACUUUUGCGGCAUCCCGCGGGAAACCAGAGUUUUUGGAUUCCGGGGGGAGUAUGGUCGCAAGGCUGAAACUUAAAGGAAUUGACGGAAGGGCACACCAGGAGUGGAGCCUGCGGC
This 1143-nucleotide ribosomal RNA is filed under the name uncultured soil eukaryote. RNAcentral's name for it is "SSU rRNA". It matches the Rfam family "Eukaryotic small subunit ribosomal RNA", at positions 13 to 1189 of the family's 1831-position model. The record is from RNAcentral.